Molecule: small RNA, 107 nt
Filed under: Marmota monax (woodchuck)
Lineage: Eukaryota; Metazoa; Chordata; Mammalia; Rodentia; Sciuridae
Source: RNAcentral
GCCGGGCGUGGUGGCGCACACCUGUACUCCUAGUAGCUUGGGAGGCUGAGGCAGGAGGAUCCCAAGUUCAAAGCCAGUCUCAGCAACUUAGGGAGACCCUGUCUCUA